RNAcentral lists this ribosomal RNA (412 nucleotides) under uncultured bacterium. RNAcentral describes it as "bacterial SSU rRNA". It matches the Rfam family "Bacterial small subunit ribosomal RNA", at positions 355 to 765 of the family's 1533-position model. The record is from RNAcentral.
UGAGGAAUAUUGGCAAUGCCCGCAAGGGUGACCCAGCAACGCCGCGUGGAGGAUGAAUGUCGUAAGAUUGUAAACUCCUGUUAGAGGGGAAGAAUAGUACCGGUUGGACCGGUAUAUGACUGUACCCUCAGAGAAAGCCCCGGCUAACUACGUGCCAGCAGCCGCGGUAAUACGUAGGGGGCAAGCGUUGUCCGGAUUUACUGGGCGUAAAGGGCGCGUAGGCGGCGCGGUAAGUCACUUGUGAAAUCUCUGAGCUUAACUCAGAACGGCCAAGUGAUACUGCUGUGCUAGAGUGCGGAAGAGGCAACCGGAAUUCUUGGUGUAGCGGUGAAAUGCGUAGAUAUCAAGAGGAACACCUGAGGCGAAGGCGGGUUGCUGGGCCGACACUGACGCUGAUGCGCGAAAGCCAGGG